Molecule: ribosomal RNA, 373 nt
Filed under: uncultured organism
Description: bacterial SSU rRNA
Rfam family: Bacterial small subunit ribosomal RNA
Source: RNAcentral
CGGGGGGAGCAAGCGUUGUUCGGAUUUACUGGGCGUAAAGGGCGCGUAGGCGGCGCAACAAGUCACUUGUGAAAUCUCCGGGCUUAACCCGGAGCGGCCAAGUGAUACUGUCGUGCUAGAGUGCGGAAGGGGCUACUGGAAUUCUCGGUGUAGCGGUGAAAUGCGUAGAUAUCGAGAGGAACACCUGCGGCGAAGGCGGGUAGCUGGGCCGACACUGACGCUGAGGCGCGAAAGCCAGGGGAGCGAACGGGAUUAGAUACCCCGGUAGUCCUGGCCUUAAACGAUGGAUACUUGGUGCCCGGGGUUACAUAGUCCCCGGGUGCCGGCGCUAACGCAUUAAGUAUCCCGCCUGGGGAGUACGGUCGCAAGACUG